AUGUGAGGCCGAGGGGUCGCUGGAAAUCCGGGGACACAUUACUUAAUUCUCUGGAAUUAAGUAAUGUGUCCCCGGAUUUCGGGAGGAAAGUCCGGGCUCCGCAGGACACCGUGGUGGGUAACGCCCACCUCCCGCACUUUCGAAAGAAAAUGCGGGAAGGACUAGUGCUACGUCUCUGCCUUUUGGCGGAGCGGGUAAACUCCACGGGGAGCAAGGCCAAGUAAAUCCCCCCUGCCGGUCCGGCAAUAUGGGGAUGGGUAGGCCGCUAGAACCUUGCGGCAACGCAAGGUCCAGAGAAAUGGCCCUUUCAAAACAGAACCCGGCUUACGAGCCUCACAUUUUC
This 343-nucleotide RNase P RNA is filed under the name Deltaproteobacteria bacterium. Its description in RNAcentral is "RNase P RNA component class A". It matches the Rfam family "Bacterial RNase P class A". Rfam says of the family: Ribonuclease P (RNase P) is a ubiquitous endoribonuclease, found in archaea, bacteria and eukarya as well as chloroplasts and mitochondria. Lineage: Bacteria; Pseudomonadati; Myxococcota; Myxococcia. The record is from RNAcentral.